RNAcentral lists this non-coding RNA (79 nucleotides) under unclassified sequences. RNAcentral describes it as "DUF3085 RNA". It matches the Rfam family "DUF3085 RNA". The record is from RNAcentral.
CGGUAGCUGGUUCGACCGGCCUGCUCGGAGGGCAACCCAGCCAACUCUGUCCGCUCAGGACAACAACCAACCCCGCGGG